Molecule: ribosomal RNA, 233 nt
Filed under: uncultured bacterium
Lineage: Bacteria
Description: partial 16S ribosomal RNA
Rfam family: Bacterial small subunit ribosomal RNA
Source: RNAcentral
GAUCAUGGCCAGGACGAACGCUGGCGGCGCGCCUAACACAUGCAAGUCGAACGAGCGAGAGAGAGCUUGCUUUCUCAAGCGAGUGGCGAACGGGUGAGUAACGCGUGAGGAACCUGCCUCAAAGAGGGGGACAACAGUUGGAACGACUGCUAAUACCGCAUAAGCCCGACAGCUCGGCAUCGAGCAGAGGGAAAAGGAGCAAUCCGCUUUGAGAUGGCCUCGCGUCCGAUUAG